UAUGACGGUAUUUAACCAGAAAGCCACGGCUACUACGUGCCAGCAGCCGCGGUAAUACGUAGGUGGCAAGCGUUGUCCGGAUUUAUUGGGCGUAAAGCGAGCGCAGGCGGUUUUUUAAGUCUGAUGUGAAAGCCUUUCGGCUCAACCGAAGAAAGUGCAUCGGAAACUGGGAAACUUGAGUGCAGAAGAGGACAGUGGAACUCCAUGUGUAGCGGUGAAAUGCGUAGAUAUAUGGAAGAACACCAGUGGCGAAGGCGGCUGUCUGGUCUGUAACUGACGCUGAGGCUCGAAAGUAUGGGUAGCAAACAGGAUUAGAUACCCUGGUAGUCCAUACCGUAAACGAUGAAUGCUAAGUGUUGGAGGGUUUCCGCCCUUCAGUGCUGCAGCUAACGCAUUAAGCAUUCCGCCUGGGGAGUACGGCCGCAAGGCUGAAACUCAAAGGAAUUGACGGGGGCCCGCACAAGCGGUGGAGCAUGUGGUUUAAUUCGAAGCUACGCGAAGAACCUUACCAGGUCUUGACAUACUAUGCAAAUCUAAGAGAUUAGACGUUCCCUUCGGGGACAUGGAUACAGGUGGUGCAUGGUUGUCGUCAGCUCGUGUCGUGAGAUGUUGGGUUAAGUCCCGCAACGAGCGCAACCCUUAUUAUCAGUUGCCAGCAUUAAGUUGGGCACUCUGGUGAGACUGCCGGUGACAAACCGGAGGAAGGUGGGGAUGACGUCAAAUCAUCAUGCCCCUUAUGACCUGGGCUACACACGUGCUACAAUGGAUGGUACAACGAGUUGCGAACUCGCGAGAGUAAGCUAAUCUCUUAAAGCCAUUCUCAGUUCGGAUUGUAGGCUGCAACUCGCCUACAUGAAGUCGGAAUCGCUAGUAAUCGCGGAUCAGCAUGCCGCGGUGAAUACGUUCCCGGGCCUUGUACACACCGCCCGUCACACCAUGAGAGUUUGUAACACCCAAAGUCGGUGGGGUAACCUUUU
This 977-nucleotide ribosomal RNA is filed under the name Lactiplantibacillus plantarum. Its description in RNAcentral is "bacterial SSU rRNA". It matches the Rfam family "Bacterial small subunit ribosomal RNA", at positions 468 to 1444 of the family's 1533-position model. The record is from RNAcentral. Lineage: Bacteria; Bacillati; Bacillota; Bacilli; Lactobacillales; Lactobacillaceae.